UCCGGUUGAUCCUGCCAGAGGCCGCUGCUAUCCGGCUGGGACUAAGCCAUGCUAGUCUAGGGGCUUGUACUCCUUCGGGGGUGCAAGCACCGGCGGACGGCUCAGUAACACGUGGACAACCUGCCCUCGGGUGGGGGAUAACCUCGGGAAACUGGGGCUAAUCCCCCAUAAGUGAUGGGUGCUGGAAUGCCCCAUCUCCGAAAGCGCUUAGCGCCCGAGGAUGGGUCUGCGGCGGAUUAGGUAGUUGGUGGGGUAACGGCCCACCAAGCCUAAGAUCCGUACGGGCUGUGGGAGCAGGAGCCCGGAGAUGGACCCUGAGACAAGGGUCCAGGCCCUACGGGGCGCAGCAGGCGCGAAACCUCCGCAAUGCGGGAAACCGCGACGGGGUUAGCCGGAGUGCCCGUGCAUUGCACGGGCUGUCGGGGUGCCUAAACAGCACCCCAUAGCAAGGGCCGGGCAAGGCCGGUGGCAGCCGCCGCGGUAAGACCGGCGGCCCGAGUGGCGGCCACUCUUAUUGGGCCUAAAGCGUCCGUAGCCGGCCCAGUAAGUCCCCCGGGAAAUCUGGUCGCUUAACGAUCAGACUUCCGGGGGAUACUGCUGGGCUAGGGACCGGGAGAGGCCGAGGGUAUUCC
Molecule: ribosomal RNA, 632 nt
Filed under: uncultured archaeon
Lineage: Archaea
Description: bacterial SSU rRNA
Rfam family: Archaeal small subunit ribosomal RNA
Source: RNAcentral